Molecule: unclassified non-coding RNA, 90 nt
Filed under: Pseudomonas sp. A214
Lineage: Bacteria; Pseudomonadati; Pseudomonadota; Gammaproteobacteria; Pseudomonadales; Pseudomonadaceae
Source: RNAcentral
UGUGGGAGCGAGCCUGCUCGCGAUGGCGUAAGACCAGUCGACAUCUAUAUUGACUGACGCACCGCUAUCGCGAGCAGGCUCGCUCCCACA